UACGUAGGUGGCAAGCGUUAUCCGGAUUUACUGGGUGUAAAGGGCGUGUAGGCGGGGACGCAAGUCAGAUGUGAAAACCACGGGCUCAACCUGCGGCCUGCAUUUGAAACUGUGUUUCUUGAGUACUGGAGAGGCAGACGGAAUUCCUAGUGUAGCGGUGAAAUGCGUAGAUAUAUGGAAGAACACCAGUGGCGAAAGCGGCUCUCUGGUCUGUAACUGACGCUGAGGUUCGAAAGCGUGGGUAGCAAACAGG
RNAcentral lists this ribosomal RNA (253 nucleotides) under uncultured bacterium. RNAcentral describes it as "partial 16S ribosomal RNA". It matches the Rfam family "Bacterial small subunit ribosomal RNA", at positions 524 to 776 of the family's 1533-position model. The record is from RNAcentral.